AUGUGGUCUCACUCUUCCUCUAGUCGCUUUUUGGUUAAGUCUCUCUACUCUAGGCUUAUCGGUGGCUCUCCCACCAAUAGGUUUUCUCAAGUCUGGCGGGCCCGCGUCCCACCGAAAAUCAAAAUCUUUCUUUGGCAGGCUUACAGGGGUCGCCUGCCGGCGGCGGACUAGAUUCGUAAGCGGAAUGGCCCGGGAUCGGAAUUUUGUGCCCUUUGCAAUGCUAGCGAGGACACGACUCAUAUUUUCUUUCAUUGUGCUUUAGCCAAGUUGGUCUGGAGUUGUGUUAGAUCAUGGCUCCAUGUCUCAUGGGACCCCUCUUCUUUUGCUGAUUUUCAUACAAUGGCUAAGUCUUUGAGUGGUGUCACCAAGAGGGUGUUCUGGUUUGGGCUUUGA
RNAcentral lists this ribosomal RNA (393 nucleotides) under Triticum aestivum (bread wheat). RNAcentral describes it as "partial small subunit ribosomal RNA". Lineage: Eukaryota; Viridiplantae; Streptophyta; Magnoliopsida; Poales; Poaceae. The record is from RNAcentral.